AUCUGGAUCUAAUAUGGAGCUGGAUGAUGUCUUUUCACAUUCGGAAGCAAUCUCAAGGGUAUCAGAAGCUGAUUUGCAGGUUUCUCGUCACCGUAUUUCUGCAUUUUUGUCCAUGCAUACCGCAUAUGAGCUGCUUCCCGAGUCAGGCAAGGUUAUUGCCUUGGAUGUUAAUUUACCGGUUAAGCAAGCGUUCCAUAUUCUCCAUGAACAGCGUGUACCUCUAGCUCCUCUCUGGGACUUUUUAAAGGGCCAGUUUGUUGGAGUUCUUAGU
This 271-nucleotide unclassified non-coding RNA is filed under the name Hevea brasiliensis (rubber tree). Lineage: Eukaryota; Viridiplantae; Streptophyta; Magnoliopsida; Malpighiales; Euphorbiaceae. The record is from RNAcentral.